This 441-nucleotide long non-coding RNA is filed under the name Durio zibethinus. RNAcentral's name for it is "long non-coding RNA (DZIB_LNC002416)". The record is from RNAcentral. Lineage: Eukaryota; Viridiplantae; Streptophyta; Magnoliopsida; Malvales; Malvaceae.
UUAAAUAUAUCAAAUAUAUUUAAAAAAUAAAAAUUCAAUUAAAUUCAUAAAUUUUUUGAAUCAAAUAUUAAAAUACUCAAACUUUUAUUUUUCAAAUAGCUCAAAUUCAAAUUUAGCUCCAAUAAUAAAUGAAUCAAACUUAAAUACUCACCAAAUCAAAUUAAAAAAUAAUUCACGAAUAACCUAACUCCUUUACACCGCUAGAUAAGACUAUGUCAGUUGGGUUUUUCAAGCUUGGAUAACUAUUACCUUAUUCUACUCUUGAAAUGCAUAAUUAUCUUUAAAAGAAAGUUAUGGUGAAGUUCGCAUUGUGUUAUUUGAACUUCAGAUUAAAGGUUAGCUUUAAUUUGCUUACUUUUUCAAUAUAUAAUCCCAAAAAAGUUUAGAUGAGAUUAAGAUUGAUCAAAGUUAAUUAUGCUAUGAAACAAGGUUGAGUUAGGC